UGCAGUCGAGCGGGGAAAGGUAGCUUGCUACUUGACCUAGCGGCGGACGGGUGAGUAAUGCUUAGGAAUCUGCCUAUUAGUGGGGGACAACAUCUCGAAAGGGAUGCUAAUACCGCAUACGUCCUACGGGAGAAAGCAGGGGACCUUCGGGCCUUGCGCUAAUAGAUGAGCCUAAGUCGGAUUAGCUAGUUGGUGGGGUAAAGGCCUACCAAGGCGACGAUCUGUAGCGGGUCUGAGAGGAUGAUCCGCCACACUGGGACUGAGACACGGCCCAGACUCCUACGGGAGGCAGCAGUGGGGAAUAUUGGACAAUGGGGGGAACCCUGAUCCAGCCAUGCCGCGUGUGUGAAGAAGGCCUUUUGGUUGUAAAGCACUUUAAGCGAGGAGGAGGCUACCGAGAUUAAUACUCUUGGAUAGUGGACGUUACUCGCAGAAUAAGCACCGGCUAACUCUGUGCCAGCAGCCGCGGUAAUACAGAGGGUGCAAGCGUUAAUCGGAUUUACUGGGCGUAAAGCGCGCGUAGGUGGCCAAUUAAGUCAAAUGUGAAAUCCCCGAGCUUAACUUGGGAAUUGCAUUCGAUACUGGUUGGCUAGAGUAUGGGAGAGGAUGGUAGAAUUCCAGGUGUAGCGGUGAAAUGCGUAGAGAUCUGGAGGAAUACCGAUGGCGAAGGCAGCCAUCUGGCCUAAUACUGACACUGAGGUGCGAAAGCAUGGGGAGCAAACAGGAUUAGAUACCCUGGUAGUCCAUGCCGUAAACGAUGUCUACUAGCCGUUGGGGCCUUUGAGGCUUUAGUGGCGCAGCUAACGCGAUAAGUAGACCGCCUGGGGAGUACGGUCGCAAGACUAAAACUCAAAUGAAUUGACGGGGGCCCGCACAAGCGGUGGAGCAUGUGGUUUCCUU
RNAcentral lists this ribosomal RNA (900 nucleotides) under Acinetobacter sp. RNAcentral describes it as "bacterial SSU rRNA". It matches the Rfam family "Bacterial small subunit ribosomal RNA", at positions 56 to 951 of the family's 1533-position model. The record is from RNAcentral. Lineage: Bacteria; Pseudomonadati; Pseudomonadota; Gammaproteobacteria; Moraxellales; Moraxellaceae.